This 442-nucleotide ribosomal RNA is filed under the name uncultured bacterium. RNAcentral describes it as "partial 16S ribosomal RNA". It matches the Rfam family "Bacterial small subunit ribosomal RNA", at positions 338 to 795 of the family's 1533-position model. The record is from RNAcentral.
CCUACGGGUAGCUGCAGUAGGGAAUCUUUCACAAUGGGCGAAAGCCUGAUGGCGCAACGCCGCGUGCAGGAUGAAGGCCUUCGGGUUGUACACUGCUUUUAUAAGCGAGAAAUAUGAUGGUAACUUAUGAAUAAGGAUCGGCUAACUACGUGCCAGCAGCCGCGGUCAUACGUAGGAUCCGAGCAUUAUCCGGAGUGACUGGGUGUAAAGAGUUGCGUAGGUGGCAUAAUAAGUAGCUAGUGAAAUCUGGUGGCUCAACCAUUCAGACUAUUAGCUAAACUGUUAAGCUCGAGACCGUUAGGGGUAACUGGAAUUUCUAGUGUAGGAGUGAAAUCCGUAGAUAUUAGAAGGAACACCAAUAGCGUAGGCAGGUUGCUGGGACGGUUCUGACACUAAGGCACGAAAGCGUAGGGAGCAAACGGGAUUAGAUACCCCAGUAGUC